This 482-nucleotide ribosomal RNA is filed under the name Paragomphus cognatus. RNAcentral's name for it is "eukaryotic LSU rRNA". The record is from RNAcentral. Lineage: Eukaryota; Metazoa; Arthropoda; Insecta; Odonata; Gomphidae.
UCUGGGAGUAAACGGGUGGUACCCGAAAGUUCGAAAGGGGAGAUUCAAGUCUCGCCGUGCGUCGGGCGGCGGACGCGACCAGAGAUGGUGUCUUCGCGAUUGAGGGGUAACUCUCGGUCCGGAGGCUCCACUCCGCGGCCGCCGUCUGUCCCGGCGUCGGAGUGACGCACUUCUCCCCCAGUAGGACGUCGCGACCCGUCGAGCGUCGGUCUAAGGUCACGGGAGGAGUCUGUACAGUCUGCAAUUUUGUCGACUGCGCAUGACCCCGUGAAUUCCGGCCGAGUGCACGACGGUACGAAGCAUGGAAGGAGUCGACGCGCCACUAGUUGGCGUCCGGCCCUCCGCAAGAGCUCGUGGGAGUCCGGGCUGCGGGCCUGGCCCGAUUCCGGUCUUCCACGAGGCUGUUUGCGAUCAGGAGGUGUCCUCGGACGGCGUUGAUUCUCCAGUCGGCGACGCUUCAGCUUGGAUGGCCUACCCGACCC